RNAcentral lists this ribosomal RNA (301 nucleotides) under uncultured bacterium. Its description in RNAcentral is "partial 16S ribosomal RNA". It matches the Rfam family "Bacterial small subunit ribosomal RNA", at positions 509 to 809 of the family's 1533-position model. The record is from RNAcentral.
CAGCAGCCGCGGUAAAACAGAGGGUGCGAGCGUUAAUCGGAUUUACUGGGCGUAAAGCGUGCGUAGGCGGCUUUUUAAGUCGGAUGUGAAAUCCCUGAGCUUAACUUAGGAAUUGCAUUCGAUACUGGGAAGCUAGAGUAUGGGAGAGGAUGGUAGAAUUCCAGGUGUAGCGGUGAAAUGCGUAGAGAUCUGGAGGAAUACCGAUGGCGAAGGCAGCCAUCUGGCCUAAUACUGACGCUGAGGUACGAAAGCAUGGGGAGCAAACAGGAUUAGAUACCCGCGUAGUCCCUGUCUCUUAUAA